This 502-nucleotide ribosomal RNA is filed under the name uncultured Diversispora. Its description in RNAcentral is "SSU rRNA". It matches the Rfam family "Eukaryotic small subunit ribosomal RNA", at positions 591 to 1092 of the family's 1831-position model. The record is from RNAcentral. Lineage: Eukaryota; Fungi; Glomeromycota; Glomeromycetes; Diversisporales; Diversisporaceae.
CCAAUAGCGUAUAUUAAAGUUGUUGCAGUUAAAAAGCUCGUAGUUGAACUUCGGGGUCUACCCAUUGGUCAGGCUUAAUUGUCUGCACUGGUGAGAUGGAUCUCUACCUUCUGAGGAACUUUCAUGCCAUUUAUUUGGUGUGAUGGGAAAUCAGGACUGUUACUUUGAAAAAAUUAGAGUGUUUAAAGCAGACUAUCGUCUGAAUACAUUAGCAUGGAAUAAUGAAAUAGGACGGACUGAUUCUAUUUCGUUGGUUUCUAGGAUCACCGUAAUGAUUAAUAGGGAUAGUUGGGGGCAUUAGUAUUCAAUUGUCAGAGGUGAAAUUCUUGGAUUUAUUGAAGACUAACUACUGCGAAAGCAUUUGCCAAGGAUGUUUUCAUUAAUCAAGAACGAAAGUUAGGGGAUCGAAGACGAUCAGAUACCGUCGUAGUCUUAACCAUAAACUAUGCCGACUAGGGAUCGGACGAAGUUAAUUUUUUAAUGAUUCGUUUGGCACCUUACG